GACGAACGCUGGCGGCGUGCCUAAUACAUGCAAGUAGAACGCUGAAGAGCGGAGCUUGCUCUUCUUGGAUGAGUUGCGAACGGGUGAGUAACGCGUAGGUAACCUGCCUUGUAGCGGGGGAUAACUAUUGGAAACGAUAGCUAAUACCGCAUAACAAUGGAUGACACAUGUCAUUUAUUUGAAAGGGGCAAUUGCUCCACUCCAAGAUGGACCUGCGUUGUAUUAUCUAGUAGGUGAGGUAAUGGCUCACCUAGGCGACGGUACAUAGCCGGCCUGAGAGGGUGAUAGGCCACAAUGGGACUGAGACACGGCCCAGACUCCUACGGGAGGCAGCAGUAGGGAAUCGUCGGCAAUGGGGGCAAACCUGACCGAGCAACGCCGCGUGAGUGAAGAAGGGUUUCGGAUCGUAAAGCUCUGUUGUAAGGAAAGAACGGGUGGGAGAGUGGAAAGUUCACAAUGUGACGGUAGCUUACCAGAAAGGGACGGCUAACUACGUG
RNAcentral lists this ribosomal RNA (497 nucleotides) under uncultured bacterium. RNAcentral describes it as "partial 16S ribosomal RNA". It matches the Rfam family "Bacterial small subunit ribosomal RNA", at positions 28 to 507 of the family's 1533-position model. The record is from RNAcentral.